UACGGGGGGGGGCAAGCGUUGUUCGGAAUUACUGGGCGUAAAGGGCGCGUAGGCGGCGUAUUAAGUCAGCUGUGAAAUCUCCAAGCUUAACUUGGAACGGUCAGCUGAUACUGAUGUGCUAGAGUGCAGAAGGGGCAAUCGGAAUUCUUGGUGUAGCGGUGAAAUGCGUAGAUAUCAAGAGGAACACCUGAGGUGAAGACGGGUUGCUGGGCUGACACUGACGCUGAAGCGCGAAAGCUAGGGUAGCAAACGGG
Molecule: ribosomal RNA, 254 nt
Filed under: uncultured bacterium
Lineage: Bacteria
Description: partial 16S ribosomal RNA
Rfam family: Bacterial small subunit ribosomal RNA
Source: RNAcentral